RNAcentral lists this ribosomal RNA (302 nucleotides) under uncultured bacterium. RNAcentral's name for it is "partial 16S ribosomal RNA". It matches the Rfam family "Bacterial small subunit ribosomal RNA", at positions 508 to 808 of the family's 1533-position model. The record is from RNAcentral.
GCAGCAGCCGCGGUAAUACAGAGGGUGCGAGCGUUAAUCGGAUUUACUGGGCGUAAAGCGUGCGUAGGCGGCUAAUUGAGUCGGAUGUGAAAUCCCCGAGCUUAACUUGGGAAUUGCAUUCGAUACUGUUAGCUAGAGUGUGGGAGAGGAUGGUAGAAUUCCAGGUGUAGCGGUGAAAUGCGUAGAGAUCUGGAGGAAUACCGAUGGCGAAGGCAGCCAUCUGGCCUAACACUGACGCUGAGGUACGAAAGCAUGGGGAGCAAACAGGAUUAGAUACCCGUGUAGUCCCUGUCUCUUAUACA